RNAcentral lists this ribosomal RNA (292 nucleotides) under uncultured bacterium. RNAcentral describes it as "partial 16S ribosomal RNA". It matches the Rfam family "Bacterial small subunit ribosomal RNA", at positions 505 to 796 of the family's 1533-position model. The record is from RNAcentral.
GUGUCAGCAGCCGCGGUAAUACGUAGGAUGCAAGCGUUGUUCGGAAUUACUGGGCGUAAAGAGUACGUAGGCGGUUUGAUAAGUCUGAUAUUAAAUACAGAAGCUUAACUUCUGAGCUGUAUCGGAAACUGUCAGACUAGAGGACAAUAGAGGAAGUCGGAAUUCUCAGUGUAGCGGUGAAAUGCGUAGAUAUUGGGAAGAACACCAGUGGCGAAAGCGGACUUCUGGGUUGUUACUGACGCUGAGGUACGAAAGCGUGGGGAGCAAACGGGAUUAGAUACCCCAGUAGUCC